AUUGAACGCUGGCUGCAUGCUUAACACAUGCAAGUCGAACGGCAGCGCGGAGAGCUUGCUCUCUGGCGGCGAGUGGCGGACGGGUGAGUAACGCGUAGAAAUCUACCCUAAAGUGGGGGACAACCUGGGGAAACUCAGGCUAAUACCGCAUAAUACCUACGGGUCAAAGCAGGGGCUCUUCGGAACCUUGUGCUUUAGGAUGAGUCUGCGUCAGAUUAGCUUGUUGGUGGGGUAAUGGCCUACCAAGGCGACGAUCUGUAGCUGGUCUGAGAGGAUGAUCAGCCACACUGGGACUGAGACACGGCCCAG
RNAcentral lists this ribosomal RNA (309 nucleotides) under uncultured bacterium. RNAcentral's name for it is "bacterial SSU rRNA". It matches the Rfam family "Bacterial small subunit ribosomal RNA", at positions 30 to 334 of the family's 1533-position model. The record is from RNAcentral.